CUGAGGUAGGGGAACAGGGGGGUGGGGGAGGGGAGAGAAGGUAAACAAAACAUUAUACUCCAAAAGCAGGGUGUAAAAUAAACUAAUAAACAACAUAUUGAGACAAUUCAAAGAUAAUUGAGGUAAUGGAGAAGGAACUGGCUAAACUGAGUCAUACUGUUUUCUCUCAUUUUGAAUAGAUUGGAAAAUUCGUGCGGCCGAUUCAUUUGCAGAUCUUCGAUUGUGUGGCACAACUCGAAUCACGCGUUUUGUUUGGUCGGAGUCUGAAGGUUGAGGACCUUCCUCUACAACCGGCGGAGCUACAGGGAAAAGUGGAAGCACAUCAUGGCUUUCAGCAGUUCGAUUGGCCUUAUCCCCUUGCACUUUGCCGGCAGGACUAGUUACAGGACUGCUUGCAGUACUUACUUGUACCUCAUUCCUUUUGGGUGCUUGAGACUUAGCAG
This 443-nucleotide unclassified non-coding RNA is filed under the name Hevea brasiliensis (rubber tree). Lineage: Eukaryota; Viridiplantae; Streptophyta; Magnoliopsida; Malpighiales; Euphorbiaceae. The record is from RNAcentral.